CUCCCGGUGAUGCAGUGGUUAGCACGCGCCAACGGAUAGGGUAAACACGGGUUCAAGUCCCGCCCGAGAUU
This is a non-coding RNA of Parelaphostrongylus tenuis, 71 nucleotides long. NCBI's taxonomy places the organism in Eukaryota, Metazoa, Nematoda, Chromadorea, Rhabditida, Metastrongylidae. The record is from the annotation of a GenBank genome assembly.